RNAcentral lists this ribosomal RNA (492 nucleotides) under uncultured bacterium. RNAcentral describes it as "partial 16S ribosomal RNA". It matches the Rfam family "Bacterial small subunit ribosomal RNA", at positions 29 to 507 of the family's 1533-position model. The record is from RNAcentral.
AGUGAACGCUGGCGGUAGGCCUAACACAUGCAAGUCGAACGGCAGCACAGUAAGCGCUUGCCCUUACGGGUGGCGAGUGGCGGACGGGUGAGGUAUACAUCGGAACCUACUUUUUCGUGGGGGAUAACGUAGGGAAACUUACGCUAAUACCGCAUACGACCUACGGGUGAAAGCAGGUGAUCUUCGUAACUUGCGCGAUUGAAUGAGCCGAUGUCGGAUUAGCUAGUUGGCGGGGUAAAGGCCCACCAAGGCGACGAUCCGUAGCUGGUCUGAGAGGAUGAUCAGCCACACUGGAACUGAGACACGGUCCAGACUCCUACGGGAGGCAGCAGUGGGGAAUAUUGGGCAGUGGGAGCAAGCCUGAUCCAGCAAUACCGCGUGGGUGAAGAAGGCCUUCGGGUGGUAAAGCCCUUUUGUUGGGAAAGAAAAGCAGCAGGUUAAGACCCCGCUGUUAUGACGGUACCCGAAGAAUAAGCACCGGCUAACUUCGUG